GNCCGGGGCGUGCGGGGCGAGCCGUGCGGGCGGGACGGGGGCUUGGGAGGCUGGCCGGGGAGACGCACGACCCGGGGCCGUAGGCGGGGAGGUCUUUCCCGCAGAGUGGCCGCCAGACGACGGAAAGUUUUUUUUGCAUGCAGCCCUUCCAGCGUGUCCUUCCCUCGCCGGCUCCCUGUCGUCCACGGUGAGGCGCCCCCCGCCGAGACCCCCGGCGGCCCAGUGGGGAGGAGCCGGGCAGGGUUUUCCCUCUACGAGCAUCCCAAGCCAGGAGGGACCCUGGUGAUGACCUCUCCUCCCAGCCACCGUUCCCUUCUCCCUUUCUUUCCUGUCACGGUGGACCUUGGGACCGUGGAGGAUUCCGCGGAUGCCUUUGGGAGCUGAGACCCAUGGGUAGAUGGAAGUGGUUCUAAAAUGCAGGCCCCAAAGGCCCUACUCCUGACACCAUCACCUUCAGGAGUAGGAUUUCAACCAUAUGAAUUUGCGGUGGGACACAAUCAUUCAGACCACAGCACUCUAUCUCUUGAGAGCUGUGAUAACACAAGGGAGUCAUGUCAACCUUGUCUCAUGCACCAGCUGAACUCGGUGACACUAGCAACUUGGAUCCCGACAGGCGGGGUGUUAUGACUGUACCAUCAGGGCCGGACUGCACUGCUCUGAAGGUGCUUCGUGUGCAGUGUGGGGCAGCUUGACCUGAGCAAAAGCAGCAAACGCUCCUCGAGGUGGAACCCCAGCCAGAGUCAGUAACACCGUGGUUCUCAAACUUCAGCCUGUGUCUGAGUCACCUGCAGAACGUGUUAAAACAUGGAGUCUUAUAACCACUUCCCCCAGAGACUCUGAUUCAGUCAGUCUAGGGCAGGGAUGGUGAUUUUGCAUUUCUAGCAAGUUCCUAAGUGCUGCUGGUUGGGAGAUCACACUUUGAAAAUUACAAGCCUGCUCCAGACCCUUGACUUAGAAAGCUCUUCCUCUCUAGGUCUUCUGUGCCCUAAAGGACUUCAGAGCUGCGGAGAAAAGUGAAUGGAAGCCAAGAGAUGGAAACAACUACAACAUGCAUCAACAGGUGAAUGGAUAAGCAGAAGGCGCAUAGCCAUACAAUGGAAUACUAUUCCGCCAGGAAAAGGAACGAGAUACUGACACACGCUACAACAUGGAUGAACCUCGAAGGCAUUAUGCAGAGUGGAAGCAGCCAGCUGCUGGGGUCAUGCAGUCCAUGAUUGCAUAGAUAGGAGAUGCCCAGGAGAAGCACAUUCAUAGAGACAGAAAGCAAAUUGGUGGUUACCAGGAAGUAGGAGGGAAUGGGGAGCUGCUGCCGAUUAGGUUUCCAUUUGGGAUGAUGCAAAGGAACACAAGCAGGGGGAGAGGGAGAGGGAGAAGCAGGCUUCCCGCUGAGCAAGGAGCCCGAUGCGGGACUCGAUCCCAGGACCCUGGGAUCAUGACCAGAGCCGAAGGCAGAUGCUUAA
Ailuropoda melanoleuca (giant panda) is the source of this 1460-nucleotide long non-coding RNA. RefSeq lists it as uncharacterized. The transcript is spliced from 3 exons. Lineage: Eukaryota; Metazoa; Chordata; Mammalia; Carnivora; Ursidae. The record is from RefSeq and is a predicted model, not a curated record.